AACGCACCUUGCGCCCUUUGGCUAUUCCGAAGGGCAUGCCUGUUUGAGUAUCAUGAACACCUCAACCCCCACGGUUAUCUAUGGUGGGCUUGGACUAUGGAGGAUUUGCUGGCUUGUUGUCGGCUCCUCUCAAAAGAAUUAGCUUACCGGCAUGUGGUGGCAUCACGAGUGUGAUAAAUAUCUGCGCUUGUGGUAGCCCCUGGAUGACCUCCGUCCUUGGAGGUCUGCUGGAGCUUAUAGAUGUCUUUCUUUAGCAAAGACGGCUUCUGAACGUUUGAUCUCAAAUCAGGUAGGACUACCCGCUGAACUUAA
This 312-nucleotide unclassified non-coding RNA is filed under the name uncultured Thelephorales. Its description in RNAcentral is "sequence contains 5.8S rRNA gene, ITS2, 28S rRNA gene". The record is from RNAcentral. Lineage: Eukaryota; Fungi; Basidiomycota; Agaricomycetes; Thelephorales.